Nothobranchius furzeri (turquoise killifish) is the source of this 136-nucleotide small nucleolar RNA. Lineage: Eukaryota; Metazoa; Chordata; Actinopteri; Cyprinodontiformes; Nothobranchiidae. The record is from Ensembl.
GCCUGGUGGUUCCUGGAGUCGGCUCUGAAGUGCUGAACUUUAGGUUUUUAAUAACAGGCAAACAUUGAUUUCUGUGAUUUUAUGCAUGGAAGCUGCCUCUAUAGCAGCGCUCCAUAGCCCGGUCGCAGAUACACUU